Musa acuminata subsp. malaccensis (wild Malaysian banana) is the source of this 1001-nucleotide long non-coding RNA. RefSeq lists it as uncharacterized. The record is from RefSeq and is a predicted model, not a curated record. Lineage: Eukaryota; Viridiplantae; Streptophyta; Magnoliopsida; Zingiberales; Musaceae.
GGCAGGACCACACUUGCACAUGCCAUCAUUCUCAGCAGCUGCUGGGGCAUUGAUCACGUUGUCAAAGUAGCUGAAGAAAUUACAUGAAAGAACUGCAACACAAGAUGAAGGGUCGAAGUAGAUGAUGACUUACACGCACUGGCUCUUGUCAGCGCAGUCGCAGUUGCCACAGGUUGACAUGUUGAGGUGGAAUGAGAUAACUGAGGGCAGAAGGCUACAAGAAAGAUCAAGAGUUGUGGGAUGUGUUCUUGGGGAUGAGUGUUUGCUUGGUUGGUGCUUAUUUAUAGGCCUUUUUUUUUUUUUUGGUUCCUGAAGAGACCUCCCGUCAUUGUUUGUGCUGUCCACACGCCGCCACCAAGAUAAGCAUCCAAAGGAAUCUCAAUUAUGGGGAGCAGAAGACGGACAUACACCUCUCAUGUCAACAUCUUAAUUCUCUGACCUUUUCCCAAUGUUGGAGAUAGGCAUCGAAGCUUGUGAAGGUUCAUCUUUCCAUACCAGGUGUGGUGGAUAUUCUGUCAUCCUCUUGCUGAGUUGUGAUGGGAGUUUUGUGGAGAGUAGAAUCCAUCAGACUAUCAGGCCAAGGAGGUGGAUAUGAUCUCAUCCAUUGUUCAUCAAGCAAUGAUAGUUUACCCUGUAAACUUAUGCAGGUGGCCAAGAUGGUUGUGAAGCAGGAACAUCGAUGAAGGGUGGGGAGAUUCUGAAGGUAAUGGUUCUACUUGUGCGCCUCACCUCAACAUUUCUGGCGUGGUCUGGUCUGGUCUUUAAAUCAACAGGUUCUACUGCUUCCUAUACAACAAAUCAGAAUCAGCAUUUUCAAGAUGGGGCCAGUUUUACCAGCAGCAGAUAGGGAGGGGCCCAAAGGCCGGCUUAUUAUAUGCAACAUUCUAGUUAUGGAAAGUAGAACAUCAUGAAUGCAGGCUGCUUCCACGACAAUGACUUAUCAGAGAGGGGGAGGGGGGGAGCGGGCUCAUGCUCAUCGAGUAUCGAAAUGAUGAGGUGUA